UUUCAUUGUCUCACUGUUGCCCGAUUGCUUUGCAGGUAUAGGUGCGACACGCAACACUCAGCCCACCUGCGUCAAUUGUAUGCUGAGGGACGGUACAUUAAGGAGGAGACCGCGGCGGUGUUACAACAAAUGCAUGGGAAAGGAUGACAUGCUUCCUGAGCACGCCAAUCAUUCAUCGCAGACAGAACAGCACAUCACUCUAGUCUGGUGCCCAAGGCAAAAUAUUUCAACACACAACGUAGAAGUGCAGGUGGACCUCUUGUGACAGCUGUGUCUGUGUGAGUGCUUUGGAGGCUUUCUUUGGCAGCAGUGGUACCAGGCUGAUGAAGAGCCUAAAGAAGACAUUGACUUCAGGAUUGAGCAAGCCUGUCAUGUGCAUUCGCCUGGGUUCUCUGUGCAGCAGCGUGAGAAUACUUUGUUCAAUCUCAGCCUGACUGUGCUCAGCACCUAGUUCUCUGACGAUGUGACCCAACUUCGUGGACGAACCAGGAGGGCCGCUCCCUGCUGACUACAUUGGCGAGAUCUCCACCGCCAAGCCGCCGAAGUUCGGUGACCUCAGCCUUCACACACACAAACAAAAUCUGCUGCCUUUCUUGGUGCUAUCAUCAUAUGCCAAACCAGUGCAUCAAUCGGCCUAGUGAAUGCCUUUGUGGUUCCUACAUCAAGCUCUUAAAUGAUUGCACAGAUGACCUGUUUGUGACCACUACAUCCAGGAUGAAAGGGAAGCUACCACAUCCAGGGACUUCUUGAAUUUCUUGCAUGCAUUGUAUCAUACAUGGGUUUCUGGCCCAGCCUGGUGGAAUUCCAGUGUAAACCGCGGCGCCAGCCACUGUGGUCUACUUGUACACUUUAGAGACGUUGCACUGUACUCUGGAAGAGACAAUACAUCCUGAAAACCUGCAAAAAGACAGAAGAAAGCAAAUGAGUUGCGCUAUGGUUGUUUGUGUUGCAUCGUUUAGGAAGCCACUCUUGCAGGUGCGACUAACGCCAAGGACCUGGCAUUGCACGAACAGUGAAGGCAGAAACACUGCCGCAGACAAGGCUGCAUUAUGUGCACGUUAUGUCUCUCAGUCCAAGUAGUCGCAUAAUUGCUUUCCUGUAUUCAGUGCGGAGCUUUCAGCAAGAUAUCCAGAUCACUAGAAAGGGAUGUGGUGAUAUGAAGUGUACUGAAACGGCGAUGUGGCAUUUUGAAUGUAAAUGUACAAAUGGACGUAGGGAGGGGGUCUAAUAAAUUAUUUGCUGCCUUAAGUGAUAAUCACAAA
Molecule: long non-coding RNA, 1262 nt
Organism: Rhipicephalus microplus (southern cattle tick)
Lineage: Eukaryota; Metazoa; Arthropoda; Arachnida; Ixodida; Ixodidae
Source: RefSeq, a predicted model, not a curated record